Long non-coding RNA from Mastomys coucha (southern multimammate mouse), 937 nucleotides. RefSeq lists it as uncharacterized. Lineage: Eukaryota; Metazoa; Chordata; Mammalia; Rodentia; Muridae. The transcript is spliced from 3 exons. The record is from RefSeq and is a predicted model, not a curated record.
CCCGGGAGUGGUUAAGUAUGGCAUUCCUGAGAACAUCCUUUCUGGGGCAUCUUGUCCCCACCCCCACCUCCUGGUCUUAGGUGUCAUACUACCAGGAAAUGAAUCUGGGUUAGCUUCUCCUGAGCCACGAAGGUCCGCAUGGCAUCUGCCAGUUUGGCCACAAGUCGCUCUCGUAUGGAACCUGGUUCAUGCUGGGGAGAAGAGGGACGGGGUGGAAUGAGUAUGGACUGAGCUAUGCCGUCUGCAAAAAUAGGAAAGGGACAGAAAGAGCGAGAAGUCUUUGUGCCCCACCACCAUGCUACCAUGCCACCAUGCUACUGAGCGCAAAACUGUAGGCAGACUGCCUCUUCCUCCAGGUAUAUGGCUGUGCACAGAUGGGAGUCAGAGGACCACUUGCCAGAAUAGGUGCUUUCCGUCAUCCACACGGGUUCUGAGAAGUGAACUCGGGCUGGCAUGCUUGGCAGCAAGUACCCUUACCUGCCGAGCCACCUCAACUGCCCCUCAAAGCACCAUCUUUAUGUUUGGAAACUGAAGCUCAAAGAUGGGAAGUGGUUUGCUGCUGAAGGAGGAGACUCAGAACAGCACCUCUAGCCUCCCAACCUCCAUCCCCAGGCUACUGAGCCCACUACCUUCUGCUCUGUCCAGUUCUCCCAUUUCAGGUAGUCCCAGGCCAAUAACUGGUCCCAGAAAUCCAGCCAGCCAGGGCUCCGGGUGUAGAGCUGUGCAGGAUACCAUGUAACCCAAGCUGGCCUGGAAUUUGGUAUGUAGUCAAGGAAAACUUUAAAACUUCUGAUUCUCUUGCCUCCAUCUACUGAGCGCUGAGAUUGCAGAUGAGCACCACUACAGUUGGUUUAUGUGGUACUGGGAACCAAACCAGGGCUUUGUGUACGCUAGGCAAGCACUCCAGAUAUAUGUAUAUGUAUGUAUGUAUAUAUGU